UCUCCCCCCCUGCAGUUGAGGACGGGGUCCUUGCACAUGAUUAUGGCUGGGGCUUGAUGCCUGCACAACACUUACACUACUUCUGGCUAAGGCGAUGUCACAACAGCUGUCUGACAAGGUCUGAGCAUGGUAGGGGCCUCUGCAAGCCACCAAGUUGCAGAUGCUACUAUGAUUCCAUCCUGAACUUCAUGGGCAGAUGACCUCAGCAAUGUGUCCUGGAACCUCACCUCUCCAGAGUGGGGAAAAAUCUAGAACCGGAGGGAUGCGUCCAUCACCUCACAUAUUCUCUAGUGCCCCCUUGUGGCCAACCCCACCACCCAGCCUGUGCUAAUUAUUUCAGUUUCUACCGUCACAGAUUUGAUUUUACCUACCAUAAUUUAUAUGAUGCAUAUGUGUACACAUACAUUUAUUAACAGGUAUAUGCACACAAAUGUAAAUUCUGUAUGUAUAUUUGGUUUGACUUUAUCUUUUUUCCUCUCAGA
This is a long non-coding RNA of Erinaceus europaeus (western European hedgehog), 482 nucleotides long. RefSeq lists it as uncharacterized. The record is from RefSeq and is a predicted model, not a curated record. The transcript is spliced from 3 exons. Lineage: Eukaryota; Metazoa; Chordata; Mammalia; Eulipotyphla; Erinaceidae.